AUUGAACGCUGGCGGCAGGCCUAACACAUGCAAGUCGAACGGUAACAGGAAGCAGCUUGCUGCUUCGCUGACGAGUGGCGGACGGGUGAGUAAUGUCUGGGAAGCUGCCUGAUGGAGGGGGAUAACUACUGGAAACGGUAGCUAAUACCGCAUAAUGUCGCAAGACCAAAGAGGGGGACCUUCGGGCCUCUUGCCAUCGGAUGUGCCCAGAUGGGAUUAGCUUGUUGGUGGGGUAGCGGCUCACCAAGGCGACGAUCCCUAGCUGAUCUGAGAGGAUGACCAGCCACACUGGAACUGAGACACGGUCCAGACUCCUACGGGAGGCAGCAGUGGGGAAUAUUGCACAAUGGGCGCAAGCCUGAUGCAGCCAUGCCGCGUGUAUGAAGAAGGCCUUCGGGUUGUAAAGUACUUUCAGCGGGGAGGAAGGGAGUAAAGUUAAUACCUUUGCUCAUCGACGUUACCCGCAGAAGAAGCACCGGCUAACUCCGUG
Molecule: ribosomal RNA, 490 nt
Filed under: uncultured bacterium
Lineage: Bacteria
Description: partial 16S ribosomal RNA
Rfam family: Bacterial small subunit ribosomal RNA
Source: RNAcentral